AAAGCUAUUGCAGCGGCUGGAGCCAGUGGAUCUGCGCACAUGGCUAUGGCGGAGGUGGCAACAGCUUCGACAAAGACCUCAGAGCCCUCAGGGUCUUCUCGAUUUAAUAAUGAGAAGCAGAGCUCCUGAUGACCAGCAGUCAACCAUGAUGUACUGGAUGGAUGAAGAGACGCAGAUCACCACCGACAUAUUGCCCGGAGGCUUUGUGGGGGUAAUUGAUGCUUCAUCCAUUUCUGACUUGUUGGUUGUGUACCCCUGGGUCCUGAAUCCACUCAUGAGAGCUGCACUGUGACUAGCUGCCCGUGGACCCUGACAACGUCAAGCUUCUGGGUGAUGUCCUUAUCAUUGCUCUGGUCUCCCACUUCAGCAACGACUUCACUCCUGCCACCCACGAUGCCUUCCUCAAGUUAGUCUGCGUCGUGGCCCAUGCCCUAGCUCUCUGCUACCAUUAAUCUCCUGCAGGAACCUGUGGUGCCCUCCUUUCCCAUUUCCACCUAAUAAAAGGAUA
Molecule: long non-coding RNA, 508 nt
Organism: Gekko japonicus
Lineage: Eukaryota; Metazoa; Chordata; Lepidosauria; Squamata; Gekkonidae
Exons: 3
Source: RefSeq, a predicted model, not a curated record